UGGGGAAUUUUGGACAAUGGGCGAAAGCCUGAUCCAGCAAUGCCGCGUGUGUGAAGAAGGCCUUCGGGUUGUAAAGCACUUUUGUCCGGAAAGAAAUCCUUGGCUCUAAUACAGUCGGGGGAUGACGGUACCGGAAGAAUAAGCACCGGCUAACUACGUGCCAGCAGCCGCGGUAAUACGUAGGGUGCAAGCGUUAAUCGGAAUUACUGGGCGUAAAGCGUGCGCAGGCGGUUUGCUAAGACCGAUGUGAAAUCCCCGGGCUCAACCUGGGAACUGCAUUGGUGACUGGCAGGCUAGAGUAUGGCAGAGGGGGGUAGAAUUCCACGUGUAGCAGUGAAAUGCGUAGAGAUGUGGAGGAAUACCGAUGGCGAAGGCAGCCCCCUGGCAAGUACUGACGCUCAUGCACGAAAGCGUGGGGAGCAAACAGGAUUAGAUACCCUGGUAGUCCACGCCCUAAACGAUGUCAACUAGUUGUUGGGGAUUCAUUUCCUUAGUAACGUAGCUAACGCGUGAAGUUGACCGCCUGGGGAGUACGGUCGCAAGAUUAAAACUUAAAUGAAUUGACGGGGU
RNAcentral lists this ribosomal RNA (570 nucleotides) under uncultured bacterium. RNAcentral's name for it is "partial 16S ribosomal RNA". It matches the Rfam family "Bacterial small subunit ribosomal RNA", at positions 355 to 919 of the family's 1533-position model. The record is from RNAcentral.